AGCUUGUCCGAGUGCAGUGUGUCCACAAUUAAUUGGUUACAGCCAGUUACAGAUUUCUUUGUUCCUUCUCCACUCCCAUUGCAUCACUUGACUGAAAA
Non-coding RNA from Myotis brandtii (Brandt's bat), 98 nucleotides. The record is from Rfam. Lineage: Eukaryota; Metazoa; Chordata; Mammalia; Chiroptera; Vespertilionidae.